UAAUUGUACUAGUAUAAGUAAGACGAAGAUGUUCGACAUAGCACCACUAUAAAAACGAAAGAUGAUUGCUCAAGUCAGUUGAGAGAUGUGACAAUUUUCUGGCAUGGAGCUUCAAGAAUAGGUUUGUUUAGGCGCAACUUCGAGCCACUGCCUUUGGCCACCGACGAGUGUUUGGGUAAAGUGCUUUUCAACCAUUCUCUAACGAGCAUUGCUCUCGAGACGCGUUGGCUUGGAAAAUCAUGCAAGUAGCUCAUUGUAAGUGUUACUUUAUUUCUACAUAUCGAAUGGAUAAUGGAAGAAUAGCUUAUAGGUCGUAUCUACGUGUUCGGUCCAUUAUAUGAUAAGGCGUUGAGGGAAAGAGACUAAGACUUUUGGGGCUCACUUGGGGCUCAUUUUAAGAGUUUGAAUACCCCUUAUUAAGGAUAAAAGUAUGCUACAUUUUCUAUAGAGCUAUAGUAAUCCACAUCAAAUAUAUACAUGAGACCACUAAAGUGGAUGUAACUCAUUUUAAGGGUGAACCACUUAAAUCAUAUUGUCAAUUAUAUAGCUUACCGUACUGAUCCCAGUUUUAAGGGUUAAGAAUGGUGUUAUUAACUUAUUAAUUAUGAUAUUAGGGACUCGUUAUUAGCAUUCCUAACAUUCAAUAUCUACAAAGAAAAAUACUUUUUUUUAACAAACAAUAUUAUAUACACUAGGGGGGGUGGGAAAGUGGGUUAAGCCAGCUUCACAAUAAGCUAGCAAUAAUGUGAUUCAAAUUCGUCUUUGGCGAAAAUCGAACCUAAGACAUCUCACUUACAAAUGAAGAUAAAUACUACUAACAAUAACAAUUUCCUUAUAUUAUUCAAAUGAUAACACAUAGAUUUAAUUUUUAUUAGUAUGCUCUAUAUGUGAGACAUAUAAAUCAUAUAGUUCACCCUUACUAUAACAAGUAAAAUGACAUGUCAAGUGACUUGUGUUCUAUUUCGAGCAUUGCAGUACACUAGCCUUGAUCAUUGUUUUUACUUGUUUGAUGUUAAUUUCGUUUAUUCAUGAUCCGUCAAUUUAUUGAGUUGUGAUUAUUAUUUAUUAGCAUAUUCAAAUUUAUUCCUAUACAUAUAUAUAUAUAUAUAUAUAUAUAUAUAUAUAUAUAUAUGUCAUUGGUUGUUGAUAAUUAUCGAACAAUCGAGGAUAAUACUUGCAUUCUCUUUAAGGAAUGUAUAUAUUCAAUUUGUAUAUUCUUAUUGUAUAAAUUUUAUACUUAAAUUGUUCAAAUCUUAAUCUUCAUUUGAAAUGACGGUUAUGAUCAUGCUUUGUGUUUAAUUUGGUAAUUUUCCUCAAAUUAUACUACCUAAGUUACAAUUUGAUAUGUAUGAUUUAAAGAUUCACAUAGAUCUUUUUUCUAAUCUGUCUUGUUCUUCCAAAAAAAAAAAAAGAAAAAAAAAAGAAACUGGUAAUAAUGAAUGAAUGAAUUAUUUAGUGGGCACUGCACUGACUAGAGUUUGUUUUAGUAGGUACAAAUUUUUAUUGACAAGGUUUUAGUAGGUACAAAUCAUAACUUUUUGGCACGAAGCUUCAAGGAUAAGCAUGUUCACGCGUUUAACUCCGAGCCACUUGUUGGUCAUCGAUGAGGAAACAAGUCUAUGAAGAAACAUAUAUACUGUAAAGCUUAGCUCUAAUAAAGUGCUUUGCAACCACUCUCUAACCAGCAUUGCGCUUGUUGCGCUCGAGACAUGUCAACCUGAGAAAUCAUGCAAGUAGCUAUAUGUAAAUGUCAAUUCCUCUCCACUUGUUGAGUGGAUAAUGGAGGAAUAACUUAUAAGUCGUAUCCACGUGUUCGACUCAUUAAAUGAUAGAACAGUGAGAGAAUUAAGAGCCCAAGACUUAUGGGACUCACUCAUGGCCUAUAUAAAGGGGUUGAAUUCCCCUUAUAAGCCUUUGGAUCCACAAGGGUAAAAUUACACUACUUUUUUCAUAGAGCUAUUGAAAUCCACAUGGACUAAAUUUGUAGGCAAAAUUUUAUAAACUAAAUAACUCAGAAGUUGAUAAUUAGAUUAUUACUUAAGUGUUGAGUAACAUGCUUAUAUCUCAUUGGUGACACAUCAUUUAGUCUACAAUUUAGUCUAUCUGGCAUUAUUUUACACACACACACACACACACACACUACUACAAUGGGCGUAUCCCAUUUGUAAGAAUGAACUGCUUAAAUCUUCUUGUCAAUUAUCGAGAUUUACAUUUUGAGCUCACCAAGGAUUGACCGUAUUGGUCUUGUGUUUACCUCUCAAAUUCGAGUAUUAAUAGUGAUGUUAUUAACUUAUUAAUUACUACAGUUUAGUGGUAUUCCUCUUCACUUGUAAUUGAGAGGUCUUAGGUUCUCGUCAAAGACGAAUUUGAACCAUAUUAUUGCUAGCCCAAUUCCCAACCUCCUUAGUAUAGAUAAUAUCGUUUGUUCAAAAAAUAAAUAAAUACUAUAUUAGAAAAUUGUUAUUGGAAUUCCAAACAUUUAAUAUUUAGAAAGAAAAAUAUUCUUAUAAAGAGUGCACAAUUACAUGUUUGUAAUGUCAAUAGUAGAUUUAAUUUUUAUUAGUAUGCUCUAUUAGUGUGAGACAUAAUCCAUUCUUACUAUAACAGGCAAAACGACAUAUUAUUCUUAAAAAUUUCUUCUUCUAAUUACAAUGUACAGAUAUAGCAAAGGUAUUAGACACAAAACUAAUCAAGCUACUAAUCACCUCUUUAAGUGAAUCUCACGUACAAUAGUUUUCUAUUUGUAUUCGUUGGGAGGGUUAAGAACGCGGGUUUAAUCCGGUGAGAUUUUAAUAGUAAUAUUUUGGAUGAGCAUAGAAAAGUGUAAAGAAUAGGUAUUAACAGCAAGAACAAAAGUGUUAUUUUCUGUAAUUGGCAGUAUUACAACUCAACCAGAUCUUCUAGUUGCAUGUGCAGUUUUGUAUUUUUAAACUUGUGUCUUGCAAAUUCAUUACUCCCAGUUUUUUUAAUAUUUGACUAAUUAUGUCACAUCCCGGCCCAGGUCCCCACCACCUCCCGGAUUCGACUCCACCAUAGCACGAUAUUGUCUGCUUUGAGUCCCGACCACAUCCUCACGGUUUUGUUUAUGAGAACUUCCCAGUGGGUCACCCAUAAUGGGAUUGCUCUCGCGUGAACUCGCUUAACUUCGAACUUCCGAUGGAACCCGAAGCCAGCGACCUCCCAAAAGGCCUCGUGCUAGGUAUAAAUGGGAAUAUACAUAUAAUGCUUAGAGGAUCCAUUCUGCUGGACGAUGUGGGAUGUUACAAAUUCCCUUAUGGAAGUGUGAAUCCAUAUUUGAAAUGUUUGUCUAUUUAUAAUCCCAAUGUAUAUGCUUAUUAAACGUUUUAUUUCUUAAUCUUCAUUUGAAAUAAUAGGUAGAACCAGAGGUAAAUUUAAGAUUUUAGGGGCCUUGUGUGAAAAUUAAAAUGGGCCUAUUUGAACUUUUUUUUUUGUUUCUUCUGUGGUAUAAUUAUGCGUACAAAACUUAGUAUAAAAGUCAAUUUUGUAACACAAUAUCGUCUAAUGAACAACAAAAAUAAAAGAAUGAACAACAGAGAUAGAAGAAUUUAAAGGAAGGUAUAUGUCAGAGAAAUGAAGUUUUUAACGAAAAUAAAAGAAAGUACGUAAAAAGAUAUGGUAUUCUCCAAAACAAAAAAUAACUUGGGUAUUUUUCAAAUUUGCACUUAAUUAAGUUAUGCAAUAUAUAUAUAUAUAUUGGGAAUAUAUAGAACUGAAAAAAAAAUGUUUUGUAUAUAAUUAAAAGUUGGGGCUUCUUGGAGACGGAGAACCUUCUGCAGCUGCUCCUUUCACACUCCCCCAAAGUCACCACUAAUUAUGAUUAUGCUUGUGUUUGAUUUGGUAACUUUCCUUAAUUUAUACUACCUAAGUUACGGUUUGAUAUGUAUGAUUUAAAGAUCCACAGAGAUCUUCUUUUCAACUUGUUCUUCCAAAAAGUGAGAGAAAGAAUUGUAACUGGUAAUGAUGAAUUAAUUAAGUAAUUAGUGGGCACUGCACUAACUAGAUUUUGUUUUUGUAGGCACAAGUGAGAACUAAAUUCUCGGCGAUAUUUGCUGAAUUGAACAUGCCAAUGGCAGGCAUGCACCAUCUUC
RNAcentral lists this long non-coding RNA (4109 nucleotides) under Malus domestica (apple). RNAcentral's name for it is "long non-coding RNA (MDOM_LNC009111)". Lineage: Eukaryota; Viridiplantae; Streptophyta; Magnoliopsida; Rosales; Rosaceae. The record is from RNAcentral.